RNAcentral lists this transfer RNA (65 nucleotides) under Upogebia yokoyai. RNAcentral describes it as "tRNA-Ser". Lineage: Eukaryota; Metazoa; Arthropoda; Malacostraca; Decapoda; Upogebiidae. The record is from RNAcentral.
GAUUGAUUAGUUUAAAAUAAAACUAAUGUUUUGAAAACAUUCAAUAGAAAAAAUUCUAUCAAUCU